RNAcentral lists this ribosomal RNA (116 nucleotides) under Pteropus alecto (black flying fox). The record is from RNAcentral. Lineage: Eukaryota; Metazoa; Chordata; Mammalia; Chiroptera; Pteropodidae.
AUCUACAGCCAUGCCACCCUGAACAAGCUCAAUGUCUAAUCUCAGAAGCUAAGCAGGGUCAGAUCUGGUUAGUACUUGGAUGAGAGACCACCUAGGAAGACCGGGUUCUGUAGGCA